GAUAGACAUUAAGCAAUAAGCGAAAGCUCGACUUAGUUAGGGUUAAAAGGGCCGGUAAAACUCGUGCCAGCCACCGCGGUUAUACGAGAGGCCCAAAUUGAUGCAAUACGGCGUAGAGUGUGAUUAGAGACAAAAACAAACUAAAGCCAAACACCCCCUAUACUGUCAUACGCCAUGGGGAGUAAGAAGCCCAACAACGAAAGUGGCUUUAAAAAUCUUGAACUCACGACAGCUAAGGCACAAACUGGGAUUAGAUACCCCACUAUGCUUAGCCUUAAACCAAGGCGAUAGGCCUACAAACCUCGCCCGCCAGGGGACUACGAGCAAUAGCUUAAAACCCAAAGGACUUGGCGGUGCCUCAAACCCACCUAGAGGAGCCUGUCCUAUAACCGAUAAUCCCCGUUAAACCUCACCCCUCCUUGUCAAUUCCGCCUAUAUACCGCCGUCGCCAGUUUACCUUAUGAAAGAACAACAGUAAGCAAAAUGGGCAACACCCCACACGUCAGGUCGAGGUGUAGCGAAUGGAGGGGGAAGAGAUGGGCUACAUUUUCUGGUGCAGAACACCACGAAAAGUGCAAUGAAAUAUGCACAAACGAAGGUGGAUUUAGCAGUAAAAGGGAAAAAGAGAGUCCCUUUGAAACCGGCUCUGAGGCGCGUACACACCGCCCGUCACUCUCCUCGAAUAACAACCAAUAGUACAUAAAACCUAAAAAAAUAGAGAGGAGGCAA
This 729-nucleotide ribosomal RNA is filed under the name Gymnothorax maderensis (sharktooth moray). Its description in RNAcentral is "partial 12S ribosomal RNA". It matches the Rfam family "Bacterial small subunit ribosomal RNA", at positions 356 to 1484 of the family's 1533-position model. The record is from RNAcentral. Lineage: Eukaryota; Metazoa; Chordata; Actinopteri; Anguilliformes; Muraenidae.